Molecule: ribosomal RNA, 502 nt
Filed under: Candida tropicalis
Lineage: Eukaryota; Fungi; Ascomycota; Pichiomycetes; Serinales; Debaryomycetaceae
Description: eukaryotic LSU rRNA
Rfam family: 5.8S ribosomal RNA (bases 145-298)
Source: RNAcentral
AAAGGGAAUUUUGCUUAUUUGCACCACAUGUGUUUUUUAUUGAACAAAUUUCUUUGGUGGCGGGAGCAAUCCUACCGCCAGAGGUUAUAACUAAACCAAACUUUUUAUUUACAGUCAAACUUGAUUUAUUAUUACAAUAGUCAAAACUUUCAACAACGGAUCUCUUGGUUCUCGCAUCGAUGAAGAACGCAGCGAAAUGCGAUACGUAAUAUGAAUUGCAGAUAUUCGUGAAUCAUCGAAUCUUUGAACGCACAUUGCGCCCUUUGGUAUUCCAAAGGGCAUGCCUGUUUGAGCGUCAUUUCUCCCUCAAACCCCCGGGUUUGGUGUUGAGCAAUACGCUAGGUUUGUUUGAAAGAAUUUAACGUGGAAACUUAUUUUAAGCGACUUAGGUUUAUCCAAAAACGCUUAUUUUGCUAGUGGCCACCACAAUUUAUUUCAUAACUUUGACCUCAAAUCAGGUAGGACUACCCGCUGAACUUAAGCAUAUCAAUAAGCGGAGGAA